GCAUGGAAUUUCUACUUCUCUACUUUUCUACUUUUCAGGGUGAAGAGCAAAGAAUUAUUCUAUCAUUAUAAAUUAACAGCCCAAGAGACCAUUGGGGUUGGGAAGUAGCCGGGUAGUAUUGAUGCAGGGUGACAAGUACUAAUCAGAUGUUGAUUCAGGUAAACACCCGGAGUAUAUAGCUGAGGAGCCGACUCUCUACGGACGUGACCUUUGGGAUGAGGAGUUAGCUACGCACGAAGAUAGUUGAGUAUGUGAUGACUGUGCAUUCGGAGCACGCUAAGGAUGAGAGUAUAAUCUUCCUUUUGACCCCUUUUGUAUAUCAGAUGUAGCCCUAGUGGCAUAACCGUAAUUAUGGCUUCCGUUGUGAAAACUCUUUUGGUAAAUAUGAUAAAUAUCAUUAGACAUCA
Molecule: long non-coding RNA, 407 nt
Organism: Macadamia integrifolia
Lineage: Eukaryota; Viridiplantae; Streptophyta; Magnoliopsida; Proteales; Proteaceae
Exons: 2
Source: RefSeq, a predicted model, not a curated record